Molecule: ribosomal RNA, 1462 nt
Filed under: metagenome
Description: bacterial SSU rRNA
Rfam family: Bacterial small subunit ribosomal RNA
Source: RNAcentral
AGAGUUUGAUCCUGGCUCAGAUUGAACGCUGGCGGCAUGGUUAAAACAUGCAAGUCGAACGAGGUUCAUCCCUUCGGGGGUGAAUCUAGUGGCGAAAGGGCGAGUAAUGCUUUUCUCACGUACCCUGAGGUUCGGGAUAGUCCGGGGAAACUCGGUUUAAUACCGGAUAUGGUCACUUGUGAUCAAAGGCUUUGGUCGCCUUAGGAGUGGGAAAUGUCCUAUCAGGUAGUUGGUGGGGUAAAGGUCUACCAAGCCUAAGACGGGUAGCGGGUGUGAGAGCAUGACCCGCCGCAUCGGGACUGAGACACUGCCUGGACUCCUAUGGGAGGCUGCAGUAAUGAAUAUUCCGCAAUGCGCGAAAGCGUGACGGAGCAAUGCCGCGUGCAGGAUGAAGCCCCUAUGGGGUGUAAACUGCUGUCAGGGUCUAGCAAGUUUUGAGCAGACCCAAAGGAAGGGCCGGCUAACUUCGUGCCAGUAGUUGUGGUAAUACGAAGGGCCCGAGCGUUAAUCGGAAUCACUGGGCUUAAAGGGUGCGCAGGCGGGCCAGUAAGUACUUUGUGAAAUCCCUCGGUUUAACCGAGGAACUGCUCAGUAUACUGCUGGCCUUGAGCAUGGUAGGGGCGGUCGGAACGGUAGGUGGAGCGGUGAUAUGUGUAGAUAUCUACCGGAACGCCAAAGGUGAAGAUAGGCCGCUGGGCCAUUGCUGACGCUCAGGCACGAAAGCGUGGGGAGUGAAUGGGAUUAGAUAUCCCGGUAGUCCACGUCUUAAACGAUGUGCACUAGGUCCGGGAGGUUUUGAUGCCCUCCGGGCCGAAGGAAAAUUAUUAAGUGCACCGCCUGGGGAGUACGGUCGCAAGGCUAAAACUCAAAGGAAUUGACGGGGGCUCACACAAGCGGUGGAGCAUGUGGCUUAAUUCGAAACAAUGUGAAGAAUUUUAUCCUGGACUUGACAUGCACGGAUUAGCUUAGGGAAACUUAAGUGACGCCCGUAAGGGUGGAACGUGCACAGGUGCUGCAUGGCUGUCGUCAGCUCGUGCUGUGAAGUGUUGGGUUAAGUCCCUUAACGAGCGAAACCCUUGUCGCUAGUUGCCAGCGGGUAAUGCCGGGGACUCUAGCGAGACUGCCGGUGUUAAACCGGAGGAAGGUGGGGAUGACGUCAAGUCCUCAUGGCCCUUAUGUCCAGGGCUGCACACGUGCUACAAUGGCGCGCACAAAGCGAAGCGAUACCGUGAGGUGGAGCAAAUCGCAAAAAAACGCGCCCCAGUUUAGAUUGCAGUCUGUAAUUCGACUGCAUGAAGGUGGAAUCGCUAGUAAUCGCACAUCAGUUAUGCUGCGGUGAAUACGUUCCUGAGCCUUGUACACACCGCCCGUCAAGUCAUGGGAGCCGGGAGCACCCGAAGUCGCCACGAUUUAGUGGUGCCUACGGUGAGUUCGGUAACUGGGACUAAGUCGUAACAAGGUA